Molecule: ribosomal RNA, 453 nt
Filed under: uncultured bacterium
Lineage: Bacteria
Description: bacterial SSU rRNA
Rfam family: Bacterial small subunit ribosomal RNA
Source: RNAcentral
UACGGAAGGCAGCAGUGGGGAAUAUUGCACAAUGGGCGCAAGCCUGAUGCAGCCAUGCCGCGUGUAUGAAGAAGGCCUUCGGGUUGUAAAGUACUUUCAGUCGUGAGGAAGGUGUUAAGGUUAAUAACCUUAGCAAUUGACGUUAGCGACAGAAGAAGCACCGGCUAACUCCGUGCCAGCAGCCGCGGUAAUACGGAGGGUGCGAGCGUUAAUCGGAAUUACUGGGCGUAAAGGGCACGCAGGCGGUUAAUUAAGUUGGAUGUGAAAUCCCCGGGCUUAACCUGGGAAUGGCAUUCAAGACUGGUUAGCUAGAGUCUUGUAGAGGGGGUAGAAUUCCAUGUGUAGCGGUGAAAUGCGUAGAGAUGUGGAGGAAUACCGGUGGCGAAGGCGGCCCCUGGACAAAGACUGACGCUCAUGUGCGAAAGCGUGGGGAGCAAACAGGGAUUAGAUACU